GAGGGGCAGCAGGUCUGUAGCAAUACAGAUGCUGGCGACCGGCAAACGGGUGCGGAACACGUACAGAACCUUCCUUCGAGCGGGGAAUAGCCCAGAGAAAUUUGGAUUAAUACCCCAUAGUAUAUUAGAGUGGCAUCACUUUGAUAUUAAAGAUUUAUCACUUGAAGAUGGCUGUGCGGCUGAUUAGGUAGUUGGCGGGGUAACGGCCCACCAAGCCAGCGAUCAGUAACUGGUGUGAGAGCACGACCAGUCACACGGGCACUGAGACACGGGCCCGACUCCUACGGGAGGCAGCAGUAAGGAAUAUUGGUCAAUGGACGCAAGUCUGAACCAGCCAUGCCGCGUGGAGGAUGAAGGUCCUCUGGAUUGUAAACUUCUUUUAUAUGGGACGAAAAAAGGGUUUUCUAACUCGUCUGACAGUACCAUAUGAAUAAGCACCGGCUAACUCCGUGCCAGCAGCCGCGGUAAUACGGAGGGUGCAAGCGUUAUCCGGAUUCACUGGGUUUAAAGGGUGCGUAGGUGGGUUGGUAAGUCAGUGGUGAAAUCCCCGAGCUUAACUUGGGAACUGCCAUUGAUACUAUCAGUCUUAAAUACCGUGGAGGUUAGCGGAAUAUGUCAUGUAGCGGUGAAAUGCUUAGAUAUGACAUAGAACACCAAUUGCGAAGGCAGCUGGCUACACGAAUAUUGACACUGAGGCACGAAAGCGUGGGGAUCAAACAGGAUUAGAUAC
This 730-nucleotide ribosomal RNA is filed under the name uncultured bacterium. RNAcentral's name for it is "bacterial SSU rRNA". It matches the Rfam family "Bacterial small subunit ribosomal RNA", at positions 64 to 785 of the family's 1533-position model. The record is from RNAcentral.